Molecule: ribosomal RNA, 438 nt
Filed under: uncultured bacterium
Lineage: Bacteria
Description: bacterial SSU rRNA
Rfam family: Bacterial small subunit ribosomal RNA
Source: RNAcentral
CCUACGGGCUGCACCAGUGGGGAAUAUUGGACAAUGGGCGAAAGCCUGAUCCAGCAAUGCCGCGUGUGUGAAGAAGGUCCUCGGAUUGUAAAGCACUUUCGACGGGGACGAUGAUGACGGUACCCGUAGAAGAAGCCCCGGCGAACUUCGUGCCAGCAGCCGCGGUAAUACGAAGGGGGCUAGCGUUGCUCGGAAUGACUGGGCGUAAAGGGCGGGUAGGCGGUUUAUGCAGUCAGAUGUGAAAUCCCCGGGCUUAACCUGGGAACUGCAUUUGAGACGCAUAGACUAGAGGUCGAGAGAGGGUUGUGGAAUUCCCAGUGUAGAGGUGAAAUUCGUAGAUAUUGGGAAGAACACUGGUGGCGAAGGCGGCAACCUGGCUCGAUACAGACGCUGAGGCGCGAAAGCGUGGGGAGCAAACAGGAUUAGAUACCCCUGUAG